Molecule: long non-coding RNA, 2255 nt
Organism: Herpailurus yagouaroundi (jaguarundi)
Lineage: Eukaryota; Metazoa; Chordata; Mammalia; Carnivora; Felidae
Exons: 3
Source: RefSeq, a predicted model, not a curated record
UGUUUCUGAUGUCAGGUUUUAGGACUUAUCUGCAGGUAUUAUUUUCCUAAUAUUGAGUACCUAGUUGCUUCAGGAUUAGACUCCAAACUUGUCAGCGUUCCAGACAGGCCCAUCAUGAUCUGGGCUCCUGCCUGUCCCUCUGGUUCCUCUCUCACACCUCCUGAAGCCGCCUUCUCCAUUGCACUUCUGCAAACUUUCCACGUUCUCUUAUGCUCACACUCUGGUACUUGCUGCUUUUCCUGAUAUGGUGGCUGCCUCUUGCCCUUCAGGGGUUUCGUUGUCCCCCGUCCUGGGAACAUUUCCUUGAGCCUCCUCUGCUUCACAGCAGCUGCUGGGUGUUUCUUUCAUACAUUGGUACCGUGUCGCGUGUGCUUCUCUUCAGCAAUCUUUCUUACAAUGAGUGCUUUUCCCUCUCUGUGUCCCCCACUGGAUUGGGAGUUCCUUGAGGGCAAGGGCCAGGCCAGUCACCUCUGUGUUGUCUGGUGCGAUACCCGACCCUGAUGUUUAACUGAUGUUUGUCAAGUGAGAAAGCGAGUGAAUGGAUAUUUAGCUCACUAAUUAUGGCCGUUUGAUCAAGUCGCCAGUUCCUUUGCCAUUUGGAAAUUGCCAUACUUAGACUCUUUCUCAGUGGCCAGGGCUGGGUAAGUUUAUAAGAGGCACGGGUAAAAUCAGAUAGUUUGAAAUAUUUAUCAGAUGACUAAAAUAUGCACGUGAUAGGAGAUGUAAGAAAUAGAUGUGUAAAAUUUUGGAGCAGGGAAGAGACUUACGUAUCAUUUAAUCCAACCCUUCUGAUUUAAAAAAGGUGUAAGAUAUCACGGAGAGGAAGAAGUUAACGUGUCAAGGGCCUCUGUGUUCAACGAGCUUGCAGUGCCGUUGGACAGAUGGUAUGUAUGUACAGAGAUGAAAAAGAUGAUUGAGAAAAAAGUGCUCAAGGAGUAGAAGAGACCAGACUAGUCAAGCUAUUUUAAGCAAACAUCCACAGAAGAAAAAAUAUCAAAAGAAUGCGGUAAGUGACAACAUCAGCAGUUUAACAGUUAUCAAAGAAUAGGGGAUAUUUUUAUCAGGUAAAUCACUUGUUAUUGUUGUCAACUGCUUGGACAAUAACUAAAGAAACUGACCAAAGAUUAACCACCAGCUUUCAAUGACUUUGCCUGUAACUCUUAUUGAUAGGAUAUGUUUUAAAUUGCCUCAGUAUUACUUAGGAAAUAACCUAGUUAUAAUUAGACUUCUAAAAAACUUUGUUUUGAAAUAAUUACUGAUUCACAGUCACUCGCAAAGACAGUGCAGAAAGAAGUCAUGUGCCCUCCUCCUUGUCUUCCCUGAGGUAACCAUAGUAUUUUAUCAAGGCCUAGAAAUUGACAUCGGUACAAUGUGUUUUGUAAUUUUAUACCAUUGUAUCACAUUCUAUAUCAUGGAACCACCUCUACAUCAAGGUAUAGAAUUAUUCCAUCACCACGAACACAAUUUAGACAACUCAAGAGGAUAAGGAAGGAAGGAAAGUCUAUUGCAUUUACCCGUAUUUUUCUUACUGCGUUCAUUCUUUCUUCCUGAUACUACAAGAUUUCUUAUUUUAUCAUUUCCUUUCAGUUUAGGGAACUUCGUUUAGCCUUUGUUUUAGAGUAGGUCUUCAGGCAACAAAUUCUUAGUUUUCCUUCCUCUGAGAAUACAUUGAUUUCCCCUUCAUUCCUGAAGGAUAUUUUUGCUGGAUAUCAGAUUCUGGGCUGACGGUUGCUUCCUUUCCACAUUCGAAAAAUCUCGUGUGCCCUUCCUUAUGGCCUCCGUGAUUUACUGCUGAAAAAAUUUGUCAUGGGACUCGCUUUCCCCUAUAGGUGAGGUGGCAUUUCUCUGUCUCUCUCUUAUUUAAGGAUGUUUUUCUUUGUCAAAGUAUGACUGUAAUGUAUAUUAGGUUUCUUCAGGUUUACCCAAUUUGGGGUUCACACAGCCUCGUGAAUCUGUAAGCUUAUUUCUUUUGCCAAAUUUGGAGAGUUUUCAGCCAUUAUUCCUUUGAGUAUGUUUUCAGCUGCACCCUAUUUUUCUCUCCUUCUUGGACUCUGAUGAUGUGAACGUUAAAUCUUUUCUUAUAGUCCCCUAAGUCCUGAUGUUUUAUUUUUUUCUCUCCCUUUUGUGUAGGUUGGGUAAUUAAUUAUAUUCUGUCUUUGAGUCCACUGAUUAUUCUCUUCUGCCCCAUUCAUUCUGCUGUUGAGCCUUUCUGCUGAGUAUUUUAUUUCACUUAUAUUUUUCAUGUUUAAAAGUUC